AUAGUUGUCGCGUCACCACCAGCACCUGCCCGCCAGAGGGAGCCCUCGCCCGAGUUUUGACGCCACCCACGAGGAACACUUCCGGGGUUUUACGGACAUUUAAGUAGCGCAUUCACCAUGCUAGGACGCGAAGUAUUGUUUUCGGGACAUUACCAAGCCUUUUCUCUCUGCCAUUGUGUAUUUGUUUUGCCUUUUGUGUAUGACCCUGUUCACGUUUACGAAUUACUGCCUUUGCCUUGUGUUUUGGAUUUGGUUACCCCGCUGCUUGACUUCCUGGUUUUUCGGACUUUGCUCUUGUUGCUUGUUUAUGUUUUCUGCCUGCUGUUUUGGAUUUGUUUGCUAUUAAACUGCUUAUGGAUCCUACACAACCCACCUCCAGCGAUUCAUUACAAUAGUAUAAUUUUUUCUUCAAUUGCUUCAAGCAAACAUCACCCUGCUCUGUAACAUCACUAAUUAUACUGAGAUAUCAUGGUAUCGACUGAGAUCUGAGGAGGUGAAGCUGCUGAUAUCUGCUGAAAAAGGGAACCUGAAGAAAACCUUUUUCUUCAUUUAUAAUGUGAACGAGAAUCACUUUGUUGUAACAGAAAGCAGCAGUUCAGUCGGUUUAGUGAUUAUUGGAGUUAGAGAGACAGAUCUGGGAUUUUAUUACUGUGGAGGUCGAAACAGAACGACACACAUUCAGUUUGGGAAACCCAUCAGACUGAACUUUACAGACAAGUGUGUUAGCAGUAGAGACCUGAUCGAGAAGGAAGUCAAGCUGCAACACACUGCUGAUUUGACCUGUGUGACCUACACAAGAGUCUCCUGAAGGCCCAGAAACUAUUUAACAGCAUGAAUCACCACGUCACAGAGAACCUGCUAUGAUCUGGUCUACAUCUGACCACAACAUUUAGUACAAUCAUUUUUAAUAAGUUUCAUUAAAUAGAUAGAUAUGUGAGAAUUAUUCUAAAAGCUGUGGUCAGUUUUCAUUUAAAGACGUUUCAGAAAUGGUAUUUAUAGCGGCUCUGAAUUCUGAGUAAAGGUCUGAGCUCAUGUUUCUGUUCAGCUGUGUGCUAUGUCCUGUUCAGACCGUGUGGUUAACACCACCAGUAGCCCUCAUCUUCCUUCCAUUUUAGGAUAUGUGAAGAAAGCAUUGUGUUGUGUUUUUUUUUUUUUUUUGUUAGCAUUGUAGGUAGAUCUGUGUAAAGAACAUAAACUGAUAAAAUGUUGAUUGUGCUCGGAUCUAUAUGCACCUUCGUGAUGUGAGCAGUUUAUUGGACAGAUAAAAUACAGAGCAGGAUGUAGGACCAUGUGGCUAAAACCAGGCCUGAAAUGCACCCUGUUUUUUUUUUUUUUUUUUUUUUUUACUCCACAAACUGAGUGUGAAACAUCAGCACUUGUUCUCAGAGUGCUGGAGGGUGUGUGUGAGACAUGGCCAAACUCCUGUCUACAUUUAUUCUACAGAUGCUGUUUGGUGAGUUCAUACACACAUUAGCAAAAUAGAUAGUAAACUAUAAAUGAGUGUUAUUAGCCACUGUAGCUGUGAGAGUGUGAGUGAUGUUCAGGAAUGGAUUAAUGCACUAAGGCUGGUUUGGACAGUGAUGAUGAAUCUGCUCUCCUGUUGUGCUUUUAGCUUUCUUUACACCGUGUCUCCUUCAGAUUGCUUCAACUGAUCAUUUAUCUGUCCAUCCUGGAGAGAGCAUCAUCCUGCUCUGUAACAUCACUAAUUAUUCUGAGAUAUCAUGGUAUCGACUGAGAUCUGAGGAGGUGAAGCUGCUGAUAUCUGCUGUAAAAGGGAACCUGAAGAAACAGUUUAUCCUCAGUUAUAAUGUGGACGUGAGUCACUUUGAUAUAACAGAAAGCAGCAGUUUAGUCAGUUUAGUGAUUAUUGGAGUUAGAGAGACAGAUCUGGGAUUUUAUUACUGUGGAGGUCGAAACAAAACGACACAUAUUCAGUUUGGGAAACCCAUCAGACUGAACUUUACAGAAGAUCAACAUCGUGAGACUGAUCACUCAGACACACAGCAGUCUGCACCUCCUGCACACUGUGGAGAUAUUAUUAUUAUUAUAAUAAUCCUGUCGUGUGUGUGGUCUCUGUUUCAAUAAGCAUCACCUGCUCCUCUCUGUACUGUUCCAGUCUACAAGAUAAGUGUUCUUUCACCGGGGACUCGGAUGAGAAGGUAGCAGAAAAACAAGGAAAUGUAGUUGAUAGAAGGCAGUGCUCAGAUCAUGUCACUAUAAAAGCAGACUAAAAAUGUCACAUUAUCAGAUGUUUCUCUGUGCAGGAAGUGGACCUGCAGCUGUCUGAUUUGACCUCUGUGACCUACACAUGUGUCUCCUGACAGCCCAGAAAACAUUAGCAACAAUUUAUAAAGUUUAUAUAAACACAUGGACAGAGGUGUGGUGCAGUUUCCUGCUUUUAUUUCUGUACUUUUAUAGGGUUUAUAGACCUUAUAUUGCUAAUAGUUGCACAUGAUUUGUACUGCUUUUGUAGAGCUUUACUCUGUCAUUGUCUAUAAGAUUAAAAUGUAAGGAGGAAUACCAUGUUUCAACCGCACAGUGUUUCUUUAAACAGGCAGUGAAUGGCGCUUUGAGAUUGAAUAUGACUUGUACAUAGUCAGAUGGUGAUGAAAUGCGUGUGUAAGGCCAAUUCAUUUGUAAGUGCUAUACACCAAAACAUUUGGGUUUGAGAUCAAAAAAAUGGAUAUGAGACAGAAUUUAAGAGUUUAGGAUUUCAGCUUUUGUUUCUAAAUCUAGAUGUGUUAAAUCAUAGAACCUUUUGUAUCAGACAACCCAUUUUUUAGGUGAGCAAAAGUAUAGGAACAGAUAGGUUUUGAAGUAAGUCAAAGUAAAUAAGACAAUACUUGGUUGCAUAUCCCUUGCUUGCAAUAACUACAUCAAGCCUACGACUCACUGACAUCACCAAACUGUUGGUUUCUUCUUUUGUAAUGCUUUUCCAGGCUUUUACCGCAGCCUCUUUCAGCCUCUUUCAGCCUUCUUUACAUCU
This is a long non-coding RNA of Pangasianodon hypophthalmus (striped catfish), 2986 nucleotides long. RefSeq lists it as uncharacterized. The transcript is spliced from 6 exons. Lineage: Eukaryota; Metazoa; Chordata; Actinopteri; Siluriformes; Pangasiidae. The record is from RefSeq and is a predicted model, not a curated record.